AGGUGGUCAAACUUGUGUGCGGGGGCUAACAUAUCGGUGUACAGGAUCGUGCAACGACGAUGACAGUGUGAUGGAUACACUCGUGUUGUUGAAACCACCGACUCUUUGAAUACUACGAAGGUUCUUUUGAGAUGUUUGCAAUACAAGGAAAGAUGAGUGGUCCACAGCAAUUUUGGCUCGUCUGUCCCACGUCAUUGACCUUCCUGCAGCAGAAGCCAUAUACCACCAGUCAUGAAGUGUGAACUUCAGGACUGGAAAAGGUAUUCCAAAAUGUAACCGUAACGAUGACAGUGAAUCUUCAUGUAGUGUCAACGACAGAGAACUCCUGGAAGACCAGAAAACACAAGCCAGGUUGGAGCUUUUGAACAUGUGAUUAAGAUGAUAGAAUUGGGCAAAAAUAUGUCGAUUGUUGAUCUUGUAAACAAACUGUCAGACAUUUGCGGAGAAGAAAAUGAAUAUUCUGCAAAAUAUAUGAAAAGAAAAAUUACUGAACAUUUUGGCGAGAGUGUUGUUAUAAGCAAUUCAGAUGGGAAAAGCGAUAUUGUGACAUGCAGACAAACCAUCGCAAACAUAAUUCAUGAAAUCUACAUUGAUGACACUUCAAAUAUAUAAGAAGAAGAAAAGAAAAAUAAUUGAGUCUGCUGCUAAAAUAAUCAAAUAUGACAUAAAGAACAUCAAAGAGACAAAAGACUGUUACCCAUCUUGACAAGAUAUUGCUUCAUUAAAGAAGAACUUGGAUUAUGUGCCACAAAGUUUACAAUCUCUAUUGAAAAUAGUAAUUGGUCAAGGUGAAAACAACCAAACAAAACUGUCAACCAUAGGUCAAAGUAUUAUGCAGGUUAGUCGCCCUAGAAGCAUUCUAACGCCUUUUCAGAUUGGGCUUGGGGUGCAGCUGCAUCAUCACUUCGCCUCAAGAUUUUUUAUAGACACCUUGAACAACUUAGGUUUUUGCAGUUCAUAUUUUGAAGUUCAAAAGUUCCAAACCAAUGCUGCUGCUUUUUUAUCCACCAGAAUACUAUGUCAAGAAACUGACAAUCCACUUUUCCAGUUUGUAGCUGAUAAUGUGGACCAUACUUUAAGAACAAUAGAUGGCCACAAUACUUUCCAUGGGAUGGGCAUCAUCGGAGCAUCUACACCAGGAACGCAAGUUUCGAUUACAAUUCCGAGGAAGGAUCUAUCUUUUCAAGAUGUGGCUGCUGUAAGUCAAAUUGAAAUUAAGUACUUUAUUAGAAAGGACCUGUCGAGUGAUGUAGAACGAAGAAUUUUCUUGCAUCUACCUGAAAAUGAGUCGGUGAUACAGGAUAGUCCGUUAGAUCUUCUUUUCAAAGUGAGUUGGCCUUUAAGACAAGAAAGACCAUUUUGGUCUGUAUUUAUGCAAAUGUACGGGGGACAUUUUUCAUCAUCUACUUCAAAAGCGGCAAUAACUUUCAUGCCUAUGAUAGAUUUGAGCCCAAAUGACCCUUCAUGUGUCCUAUCAACGCUACAUUUCGUGUGCCGUCAAUCAGCUCAAUAUCACAAGUCUCCAGGAGCCGUUUUCACCAAUGUACGUAAGUCUCAAAUCUUAGACUCAGCUCAAGUUUCUGACUCAGACUCAAACUCAGGCUAACAAAACUUAAUUCACGAAACAUAAAACGGUAAGUUUUAGACUCAGGCUCAGUAAUGUAAGUCUCAAAUGCUAAGUCUACAAUGUUUAGACUUACGUAAUACAAUCGCGACGUAACGUUAUACGCACGUAAAAAUUCAAAAUGGCUGCCACACGAGGCCACUUGCGUUUUAAUAAUUAUUUGAGAGUUGAAAGUGUUUAUCGACCCAACGAAUCCCUUGAAAAUAUUUCAGGACUUUGAAUUAUAUAAACGUUUUCGUUUUACAAGACCCGGUAUUCUUUGUAUGUGUAAUCUGUGUAAUGAAGAGCUGAUCCGGAGUACAAUGCGUAGCCUGCCAGUUCCGGUCGCCCUGGCAGUAUGUACCUACCUGAGGUACGUGGCCAGCGGCGGCCUGCAGUUCACCGUCGGUGAUAGUACUGGCCUGUGACAGGCAACGGAUAGCCAUGUCUGUGCACAGGUCAGCGACAUUCUGGCAGGGAAAGUCCCGGAAUUCGUAAAAUUUCCAGCUUUUGAAGACGCCGCCCUCGCAAAACAUGAUCUUGGUGCCAUCGCUGGUACGUGAGUGCAAAUGAGAUGUAUGCUUUUGCUGUUCUAAUGUAUUAUAGACAACUGUCAAAUUCAUAAUUAUCCGCGUUUGUUUGUUGUCAUAGUGUAAAUAAUCUCCAAACUUAAUGUACUUGAACAUGCACUAAUUUUUAUAGAUAAUACGUGUUGUUAAAAUGUAAUAGUAAUAACAGUUUUUAAAAUAUCACUAACUACCA
Dreissena polymorpha is the source of this 2365-nucleotide long non-coding RNA. RefSeq lists it as uncharacterized. NCBI's taxonomy places the organism in Eukaryota, Metazoa, Mollusca, Bivalvia, Myida, Dreissenidae. The record is from RefSeq and is a predicted model, not a curated record. The transcript is spliced from 3 exons.